CGAAUGCUGACAUAAGUAACGAUAAAGCGGGUGAAAAGCCCGCUCGCCGGAAGACCAAGGGUUCCUGUCCAACGUUAAUCGGGGCAGGGUGAGUCGACCCCUAAGGCGAGGCCGAAAGGCGUAGUCGAUGGGAAACAGGUUAAUAUUCCUGUACUUGGUGUUACUGCGAAGGGGGGACGGAGAAGGCUAUGUUGGCCGGGCGACGGUUGUCCCGGUUUAAGCGUGUAGGCUGGUUUUCCAGGCAAAUCCGGAAAAUCAAGGCUGAGGCGUGAUGACGAGGCACUACGGUGCUGAAGCAACAAAUGCCCUGCUUCCAGGAAAAGCCUCUAAGCAUCAGGUAACAUCAAAUCGUACCCCAAACCGACACAGGUGGUCAGGUAGAGAAUACCAAGGCGCUUGAGAGAACUCGGGUGAAGGAACUAGGCAAAAUGGUGCCGUAACUUCGGGAGAAGGCACGCUGAUAUGUAGGUGAAGUCCCUCGCGGAUGGAGCUGAAAUCAGUCGAAGAUACCAGCUGGCUGCAACUGUUUAUUAAAAACACAGCACUGUGCAAACACGAAAGUGGACGUAUACGGUGUGACGCCUGCCCGGUGCCGGAAGGUUAAUUGAUGGGGUCAGCGCAAGCGAAGCUCUUGAUCGAAGCCCCGGUAAACGGCGGCCGUAACUAUAACGGUCCUAAGGUAGCGAAAUUCCUUGUCGGGUAAGUUCCGACCUGCACGAAUGGCGUAAUGAUGGCCAGGCUGUCUCCACCCGAGACUCAGUGAAAUUGAACUCGCUGUGAAGAUGCAGUGUACCCGCGGCAAGACGGAAAGACCCCGUGAACCUUUACUAUAGCUUGACACUGAACAUUGAGCCUUGAUGUGUAGGAUAGGUGGGAGGCUUUGAAGUGUGGACGCCAGUCUGCAUGGAGCCGACCUUGAAAUACCACCCUUUAAUGUUUGAUGUUCUAACGUUGACCCGUGAUCCGGGUUGCGGACAGUGUCUGGUGGGUAGUUUGACUGGGGCGGUCUCCUCCUAAAGAGUAACGGAGGAGCACGAAGGUUGGCUAAUCCUGGUCGGACAUCAGGAGGUUAGUGCAAUGGCAUAAGCCAGCUUGACUGCGAGCGUGACGGCGCGAGCAGGUGCGAAAGCAGGUCAUAGUGAUCCGGUGGUUCUGAAUGGAAGGGCCAUCGCUCAACGGAUAAAAGGUACUCCGGGGAUAACAGGCUGAUACCGCCCAAGAGUUCAUAUCGACGGCGGUGUUUGGCACCUCGAUGUCGGCUCAUCACAUCCUGGGGCUGAAGUAGGUCCCAAGGGUAUGGCUGUUCGCCAUUUAAAGUGGUACGCGAGCUGGGUUUAGAACGUCGUGAGACAGUUCGGUCCCUAUCUGCCGUGGGC
Molecule: ribosomal RNA, 1376 nt
Filed under: Escherichia coli
Lineage: Bacteria; Pseudomonadati; Pseudomonadota; Gammaproteobacteria; Enterobacterales; Enterobacteriaceae
Description: partial 23S ribosomal RNA
Rfam family: Bacterial large subunit ribosomal RNA
Source: RNAcentral